This 513-nucleotide ribosomal RNA is filed under the name uncultured bacterium. Its description in RNAcentral is "partial 16S ribosomal RNA". It matches the Rfam family "Bacterial small subunit ribosomal RNA", at positions 28 to 523 of the family's 1533-position model. The record is from RNAcentral.
GAUGAACGCUGGCGGCGUGCCUAAUACAUGCAAGUCGAACGCGCAGCGAAAGGUGCUUGCACCUUUCAAGCGAGUGGCGAACGGGUGAGUAACACGUGGAUAACCUGCCUCAAGGCUGGGGACAACAUUUGGAAACAGAUGCUAAUACCGAAUAAAACUUAGUAUCGCAUGAUACAAAGUUAAAAGGCGCUACGGCGUCACCUAGAGAUGGAUCCGCGGUGCAUUAGUUAGGUGGUGGGGUAAAGGCUUACCAAGACGAUGAUGCAUAGCCGAGUUGAGAGACUGAUCGGCCACAUUGGGACUGAGACACGGCCCAAACUCCUACGGGAGGCUGCAGUAGGGAAUCUUCCACAAUGGGCGCAAGCCUGAUGGAGCAACGCCGCGUGUGUGAUGAAGGCUUUCGGGUCGUAAAGCACUGUUGUAUGGGAAGAAAUGCUAAAAUAGGGAAUGAUUUUAGUUUGACGGUACCAUACCAGAAAGGGACGGCUAAAUACGUGCCAGCCGCCGCUGUAA